RNAcentral lists this long non-coding RNA (213 nucleotides) under Mytilus galloprovincialis (Mediterranean mussel). The record is from RNAcentral. Lineage: Eukaryota; Metazoa; Mollusca; Bivalvia; Mytilida; Mytilidae.
GGAAAUUCAUUCUUUUGAUACAUUUAUAUUGUUAUCGAAUUUAUAUCAGUGGCGGAUCCAGGUCCAAAUCCAGGACAAAACAGGGGGAAGGGGGGCCAACUUUAUGUCCCCAUUUAAAUGCAUUGAUCAUCCUAAAAACGGGUGUUCCAACCCCGGGAUUCCCCACCACUGAAUAUUAAAUUCAUGUAUUUGGCAACAAACGCGCGAUUUUUA